Molecule: unclassified non-coding RNA, 85 nt
Filed under: Algibacter luteus
Lineage: Bacteria; Pseudomonadati; Bacteroidota; Flavobacteriia; Flavobacteriales; Flavobacteriaceae
Description: Arenitalea lutea Flavo-1 RNA
Source: RNAcentral
GGAUACCCGCGCUAACGAUUGCAGUGGUUAGCUUUUGAGGAGGCGUGCAUCGAGCCAAAACUAUGAACGAAAAGCGUGACCCUUG